RNA transcript from Arabidopsis lyrata subsp. lyrata, 1103 nucleotides. RefSeq lists it as uncharacterized. Lineage: Eukaryota; Viridiplantae; Streptophyta; Magnoliopsida; Brassicales; Brassicaceae. The record is from RefSeq and is a predicted model, not a curated record. The transcript has 5 exons.
UGAUUAACGGGAGUAUGUUAGGGUGAUCUUAGGAAAAUCUUAGGUAUAAAAGUGAUUAAAUUUAAUGCAUUUUCUCCUUUUAUACUAAGGAACGUUCCUUAACUAAAGAACAAAAUAAGUCUUAAGAAACGUUCACAUGGCGCGUUGUGAAUGGGUAAUCCAAGAAAUAUAUUUAGACAAAAAAAAACACACGCGUUUUAUUUUUUUUCUGUUUGUUCUCUCUCUCUCUCGCAAAAACGGAGAAAUCGGAACCGAAGAAGCUUGCCGUAAAGUCAACCCAAAUCGGAGUAAUCGGCUCUGUUUUCUUCCUCUGGCCGUCGUUGCCGCGUUACCUCAUCAUCCCCACCGACGGUGGUUGUCGAGGGAUCUCUCUGUUCACAUAAUCGGCGAAUCGGGGCGUACGAAAUCAGGGCUAAAUUCAGGAGACUGUCGAUUUUUGAUUCGAAAUCGGUGAGAAUCUGUUUGUCAAGGCAAACAGCGAGCAUGUACAAGAAUGCUAAGAAGAAGAUUGAGAGAGAUGUUGCUUUCCCUACAUGCAUUUCUGUGAUUCAUUUCUCACCGCUUGCCAGUGAUGAGUCUGUGUUGGAAGAUGGUGAUAUGGUUAAAAUAACACUGAUGUAACUGAAGCUAUUCAGAAGGUGGCUGCAGCUUAUGACUGCAAAAUUGUUGAAGGUGGCUGCAGCUUAAUCGUCCAACCCAUUAUCCAGAACCCCAAGAUUUCUGAGCUUGGUAUCUAUCCUGCUGUGGAUCCUUUGGUAUAAUCAUAUGAUUUUGAAACAUUUUGCUGGUUUGUUGGAUGGCAAGUACGAUGAUCUUUCCGAACAAUCGUUUUACAUGGUUGGAGGUAUCGAUGAGGUGGUUGCAAAGGCAGAGAAGAUCGCUAAAGAGUCAGCAGCUUAAGGGAUUGAUUCAGCUCUUUCAUGCUUAAUACUUCUCUUAGAGCUGGCAAGAUGAUACUGAACAGAUCCAUUCACUGUUACUCAAAUUUUUUGUUGUUUUGCUUCCUUUGUUGAAAUAAAGAUUAAAAAUCUUGCAGAUUCUAAUUGCAAUGUAUGUUUAAGAAUUUUUGAUGUCAGUCUUUUUGUUAUUUUGUUUCAAAGAAA